AGUAAAGAGGUUGAUUUAGCAUUUGUUUUCUUUUUUUAGUUUAACUUGUUUUUUACACCAAAAAAGAAAAAAAAAACUUUUUAAGUGAUAAUUCUAGGCGAUGAGAUGAGAAAGCAGGCUACCUGGACGGUGGCGUUUCAUAUCCGACCUUUCUACCGCAUUGAGAUAACAGUACCCGAACCCUCUAAUCUCCCAUUGGCGUUUUCACCCUUCUUCCUCCUUUAUUCCCCGUGCUAGGGUUUCUACUACCGUUACCUCGAUGGUGACCAAAGAUCAUGUCACCAUGAACGGGAACGGUAACAGUAACUGGUUCAGUAAGAUGGAAGAAGAGUUUUUCAAGAGGCACCACAAAUGUGACGUUACAAGAAAUCAGUACAACUCGUCGCUUGUUAAACUCAUUAAAGCUAUUGCUCAUCUCGUUUGGCCUGUAUUGAGGAGAUUCGAUCAACUGCAGAAGAACAAAGCAUCUGUCAGCAGGUGUGUUGUCUGCCGGCCACAACUAGCUCUGAAAGGUUAGAGUAUCUAGAUGAUGACGAGCAUAUUUUGAGCAUGAUAAUUGUUGGAGGGGAUCUUAGGUUGAAGCAUAAAGAAUACUUUUUCGUGAGCAAGCAACUUGAAGAUGUGUUGGUUUUCAGUUCUGUAUCCUGUAUCCUGUCUCCUUUUCUUUUAACAUUUGAAUUGAUCUAAAUGCUUUGACCUCCUUCAUUAGGUUGAAUUUUGAUUUUUGGACGUGUUGGGUUUUUUUUUUUUUAUGUGCUAUUUGGCUGUAAAUAUGUGUGCUAGUCGAAAUUUGAGGUUAAUAUCUUGAAAAGUUGAAGAAAAGCCUUUUGGUGCGAUGGAUAUAAAUGAAAUAUGGAUGCAUGAGGUGAAGCAAGUUAUUUAUAAUAAAGGUGGAAGAGGGAGGGAUGAAAGAAAUAUUUGUAUUGUUACAAAAAUCCAGUGGUGAAAUACAUUGCUUGAUGUAGGGGUUUUGGAGUCUUGUGCUUUAGAAACCAUUGAGAGGUAUGGCAUGUCUUUCAUGACCCACCUAAUUUUGAUUUAUCUGUAAAAAAAGAAAAAAAAGAGAAAAUUGGGAUUUAUCUUCCCAAGCUGAGAUUAGUUGGAGUGCAUUGCCCAUCAGUCAAGACAAAAGGGGAUUUAUGCCCCCCACAAACUGAGAAUGGGGGGAUCUGGCUUUUUAGUAUUUUGCAUGGAAAAUUUAUUUAUUAUUAGUAUAAUGGUACCAGAUUGGAUCACUGGUUCCGAAGUCUUUUAUAAUCUGAAUUCGCCAAUAAUUUUUUUAUUUCAUGGGAUCAAUAAACGCACUAGUAUAACAAAAAUCACAUGUUUAAUAAAUAUUAUUGUCACCAACGAUUAAUGUUAGCAAGAAGGACAAAAUGUGUAAACUAAAGGGCCAAGGUUUAAAUAAAAAUAAUAAAAACUUGCCUCGCCUACCCAACAUUAUUGAUUUUUGUUUGGUUAAUUACCACAA
Molecule: RNA transcript, 1471 nt
Organism: Gossypium raimondii (Peruvian cotton)
Lineage: Eukaryota; Viridiplantae; Streptophyta; Magnoliopsida; Malvales; Malvaceae
Gene name: abscisic acid receptor PYL8
Exons: 3
Source: RefSeq, a predicted model, not a curated record